This 424-nucleotide ribosomal RNA is filed under the name Verrucomicrobiota bacterium. RNAcentral describes it as "Verrucomicrobia bacterium partial 16S ribosomal RNA". It matches the Rfam family "Bacterial small subunit ribosomal RNA", at positions 355 to 776 of the family's 1533-position model. Lineage: Bacteria; Pseudomonadati; Verrucomicrobiota. The record is from RNAcentral.
UGAGGAAUAUUGGUCAAUGGACGAGAGUCUGAACCAGCCAAGUAGCGUGCAGGAUGACGGCCCUAUGGGUUGUAAACUGCUUUUGUUUGGGAAUAAUUGACUUUUCGUGUAAUGUUUUGCCUGUACCAUUCGAAUAAGGACCGGCUAACUCCGUGCCAGCAGCCGCGGUAAUACGGAAGGUGCAGGCGUUAUCCGGAUUCAUUGGGUUUAAAGGGAGUGUAGGCGGUAGGUUAAGCGUGAUGUGAAAGGUUGAUGCUCAACAUCUGACUUGCAGUGCGAACUGGUUGGCUUGAGUAAGAACAACGUAGGCGGAAUUCAAGGUGUAGCGGUGAAAUGCUUAGAUAUGACAAAGAACUCCGAUUGCGAAGGCAGCUGGCGGGAGCAAAACUGACGCUGAAGCUCGAAAGAGCGGGUAUCGAACAGG